AUACUUAGGGGAGAUACCAUGAUCACGAAGGUGGUUUUCCCAGGGCGAGGCUUAUCCAUUGCACUCAGGAUGUGCUGACCCCUGGGAUUUCCCCAAAUGUGGGAAACUCAGCUGCAUAAUUUGUGGUAGUGGGGGACUGCAUUUGCGCUUUCCCCUG
RNAcentral lists this small nuclear RNA (157 nucleotides) under Theropithecus gelada (gelada). RNAcentral describes it as "U1 spliceosomal RNA (ENSTGEG00000019139.1)". It matches the Rfam family "U1 spliceosomal RNA". From Rfam's summary of the family: U1 is a small nuclear RNA (snRNA) component of the spliceosome (involved in pre-mRNA splicing). Its 5' end forms complementary base pairs with the 5' splice junction, thus defining the 5' donor site of an intron. Lineage: Eukaryota; Metazoa; Chordata; Mammalia; Primates; Cercopithecidae. The record is from Rfam by way of RNAcentral.